Non-coding RNA from Pelmatolapia mariae (spotted tilapia), 483 nucleotides. The record is from the annotation of a RefSeq genome assembly. Lineage: Eukaryota; Metazoa; Chordata; Actinopteri; Cichliformes; Cichlidae.
CUCAGUCAGUUUGUAUCACUGUGGUGGACGUUCGGUGGAGGAACCAGACUGGAUGUUGGAAGUGACGCUCGUCCAACCCUGACGGUGCUGCCCCCCUCCAGAGAGGAGCUACAGCAGGGGAAGGCCACGCUCAUGUGCCUGGCCAACAAGGGCUUCCCCUCAGACUGGAGUCUGUCCUGGAAGGUGGACGGCAGCAGCAGCAGCAGCUGGGAGGAGGGCAGGAGCCCAGGGGUGCUGCAGGAGGACGGCCUCUACAGCUGGAGCAGCACCCUGAGGCUCCCUGCAGACCAGUGGGAGAAGGUGGGCUCUGUGACCUGUGAGGCCACCCAGGGCUCCCACGCUCCUCUCUCACAGACACUGAGGAGAGACCAGUGUUCCCAGUCCUGAGCUGACUCGCUGGUUUUCCUCUGCAGGUGUCUCUCUCUUUCUGUCACUCGUCUUUGUUUUGUCCAUCAUUUCAGUGUUUGACACAAUAAAGAUUCA